AUCCAGCUGAAGAAUCCUAAAUAGGACGAAACGCACAUUCUGGAU
Molecule: non-coding RNA, 45 nt
Filed under: Schistosoma bovis
Lineage: Eukaryota; Metazoa; Platyhelminthes; Trematoda; Strigeidida; Schistosomatidae
Also listed under: 1 other name
Source: RNAcentral